UAAACCGUACUGAAAACCGACACAGGUGGUCAGGUAGAGAAUACUCAGGCGCUUGAGAGAACUCGGGUGAAGGAACUAGGCAAAAUAGCACCGUAACUUCGGGAGAAGGUGCGCUGGCGUAGGUUGUAGGAGUAUACCUCCGAAGGCUGAACCAGUCGAAGAUACCAGCUGGCUGCAACUGUUUAUUAAAAACACAGCACUCUGCAAACACGAAAGUGGACGUAUAGGGUGUGAUGCCUGCCCGGUGCUGGAAGGUUAAUUGAUGGUGUUAUCGAAAGAGAAGCUCCUGAUCGAAGCCCCAGUAAACGGCGGCCGUAACUAUAACGGUCCUAAGGUAGCGAAAUUCCUUGUCGGGUAAGUUCCGACCUGCACGAAUGGCAUAAUGAUGGCCAGGCUGUCUCCACCCGAGACUCAGUGAAAUUGAAAUCGCCGUGAAGAUGCGGUGUACCCGCGGCUAGACGGAAAGACCCCGUGAACCUUUACUAUAGCUUGACACUGAACAUUGAAUUUUGAUGUGUAGGAUAGGUGGGAGCCUAUGAAGCAGUCACGCCAGUGAUUGUGGAGGCGUCCUUGAAAUACCACCCUUUAACGUUUGAUGUUCUAACGAAGAUUGCGAAACGCGGUCUCGGACAGUGUCUGGUGGGUAGUUUGACUGGGGCGGUCUCCUCCCAAAGCGUAACGGAGGAGCACGAAGGUUUGCUAAUCACGGUCGGACAUCGUGAGGUUAGUGCAAUGGUAUAAGCAAGCUUAACUGCGAGACAGACAAGUCGAGCAGGUGCGAAAGCAGGUCAUAGUGAUCCGGUGGUUCUGAAUGGAAGGGCCAUCGCUCAACGGAUAAAAGGUACUCCGGGGAUAACAGGCUGAUACCGCCCAAGAGUUCAUAUCGACGGCGGUGUUUGGCACCUCGAUGUCGGCUCAUCACAUCCUGGGGCUGAAGUAGGUCCCAAGGGUAUGGCUGUUCGCCAUUUAAAGUGGUACGCGAGCUGGGUUUAGAACGUCGUGAGACAGUUCGGUCCCUAUCUGCCGUGGGCGUUGGAGAAUUGAGAGGGGCUGCUCCUAGUACGAGAGGACCGGAGUGGACGCAUCACUGGUGURCCAGUUGUCUCGCCAGAGGCACUGCUGGGUAGCUAAAUGCGGAAGAGAUAAGUGCUGAAAGCAUCUAAGCACGAAACUCGCCUUAAGAUGAGUUCUCCCUAGCUAUAAGCUAGUAAGGGUUGUUGRAGACUACGACGUAGAUAGGUCUGGUGUGUAAGCGGUGUGAGCCGUUGAGCUAACAGAUACUAAUUGCCCGAGAGGCUUAACUAU
Molecule: ribosomal RNA, 1305 nt
Filed under: Glaesserella parasuis
Lineage: Bacteria; Pseudomonadati; Pseudomonadota; Gammaproteobacteria; Pasteurellales; Pasteurellaceae
Description: partial 23S ribosomal RNA
Source: RNAcentral